GAUGAACGCUGGCGGCGUGCUUAACACAUGCAAGUCGAACGAGAAGUGGAGACGGAAACCUUCGGGCGGAAGACUUUAUUUCGAGUGGCAGACGGGUGAGUAACGCGUGGGUAACCUGCCUCAUACAGGGGGAUAACAGUUGGAAACGACUGUUAAUACCGCAUAAGACCACAGCACCGCAUGGUGCGGGGGUAAAAACUCCGGUGGUAUGAGAUGGACCCGCGUUCGAUUAGCCAGUUGGCGGGGUAACGGCCCACCAAAGCGACGAUCGAUAGCCGAUCUGAGAGGAUGACCGGCCACAUUGGGACUGAGACACGGCCCAAACUCCUACGGGAGGCAGCAGUGGGGAAUAUUGCACAAUGGGGGAAACCCUGAUGCAGCGACGCCGCGUGAGUGAAGAAGUAUUUCGGUAUGUAAAGCUCUAUCAGCAGGGAAGAAAAUGACGGUACCUGAGUAAGAAGCCCCGGCUAACUACGUG
This 478-nucleotide ribosomal RNA is filed under the name uncultured bacterium. Its description in RNAcentral is "partial 16S ribosomal RNA". It matches the Rfam family "Bacterial small subunit ribosomal RNA", at positions 28 to 507 of the family's 1533-position model. The record is from RNAcentral.